RNAcentral lists this ribosomal RNA (497 nucleotides) under uncultured bacterium. RNAcentral's name for it is "partial 16S ribosomal RNA". It matches the Rfam family "Bacterial small subunit ribosomal RNA", at positions 28 to 507 of the family's 1533-position model. The record is from RNAcentral.
GAUGAACGCUGGCGGCGUGCCUAAUACAUGCAAGUCGAGCGAACAGAUAAGGAGCUUGCUCCUUUGACGUUAGCGGCGGACGGGUGAGUAACACGUGGGUAACCUACCUAUAAGACUGGAAUAACUCCGGGAAACCGGGGCUAAUGCCGGAUAACAUUUAGAACCGCAUGGUUCUAAAGUGAAAGAUGGUCUUGCUAUCACUUAUAGAUGGACCCGCGCCGUAUUAGCUAGUUGGUAAGGUAACGGCUUACCAAGGCAACGAUACGUAGCCGACCUGAGAGGGUGAUCGGCCACACUGGAACUGAGACACGGUCCAGACUCCUACGGGAGGCAGCAGUAGGGAAUCUUCCGCAAUGGGCGAAAGCCUGACGGAGCAACGCCGCGUGAGUGAUGAAGGUCUUCGGAUCGUAAAACUCUGUUAUUAGGGAAGAACAAAUGUGUAAGUAACUGUGCACGUCUUGACGGUACCUAAUCAGAAAGCCACGGCUAACUACGUG